UGGGUUUGACAUAUACCGGAAAGCCGUAGAGAUACGGCCCCCCUUGUGGUCGGGUGACAGGUGGUGCAUGGCUGUCGUCAGCUCGUGUCGUGAGAUGUUGGGUUAAGUCCCGCAACGAGCGCAACCCUUGUUCUGUGUUGCCAGCAUGCCCUUCGGGGUGAUGGGGACUCACAGGAGACCGCCGGGGUCAACUCGGAGGAAGGUGGGGAUGACGUAGCUAAGCCUUC
RNAcentral lists this unclassified non-coding RNA (227 nucleotides) under uncultured Actinomycetes bacterium. Its description in RNAcentral is "uncultured actinobacterium contains 16S-23S intergenic spacer region". It matches the Rfam family "Bacterial small subunit ribosomal RNA", at positions 976 to 1194 of the family's 1533-position model. The record is from RNAcentral. Lineage: Bacteria; Bacillati; Actinomycetota; Actinomycetes.